RNAcentral lists this ribosomal RNA (449 nucleotides) under uncultured bacterium. RNAcentral describes it as "partial 16S ribosomal RNA". It matches the Rfam family "Bacterial small subunit ribosomal RNA", at positions 354 to 796 of the family's 1533-position model. The record is from RNAcentral.
GUCGAGAAUCAUUCACAAUGGGGGAAACCCUGAUGGUGUGACGCCGCGUGGAGGAUGAAGGUCUUCGGAUUGUAAACUCCUGUCAUGUGGGAGUAAAGCCGGGUGUUAAAUGCAUGCCGGUCUGAGAGUACCACAAGAGGAAGGGACGGCUAACUCUGUGCCAGCAGCCGCGGUAAUACAGAGGUCCCAAGCGUUGUUCGGAAUCACUGGGCGUAAAGGGUGCGUAGGCGGCGCGGAAAGUCAGGGGUGAAAUCCCGGAGCUCAACUCCGGAACUGCCUGUGAUACUCCCGCGCUUGAGAACUGGAGGGGAGACCGGAAUUCACGGUGGAGCAGUGAAAUGCGUGGAUAUCGUGAGGAACACUAGUGGCGAAGGCGGGUCUCUGGACAGUAUCUGACGCUGAGGCACGAAGGCCAGGGGAGCGAACGGGAUUAGAAACCCUAGUAGUCC